GCCUUGGACAAGACAACAGGCUACAUUUAUGUACUGGGCUCAAGUGAUCAAACAAAGCAGCCAGAAUGUGAAGCCUGAAGAUGUGAAGCUGAUUUGGAAGUACAAAUUGUCACACGUGUCAUUAGACAAAGCAAAACUGGCAGAUGGGUGUAAAAAAAAGAGAAAGAAUUGCAGCCGCUUUCAACAAUGUCUCCUUUUGAUUCAUAAGAUUGUAGGAUUGCGAAGGUGGUGCGGUGAUCUGCGAGGAUCUCAGCGUGAGUGACAAGGACGAGCGGCGCGAGCGGCUAAUUGUCGUGAUGGAGGGAGAGAAGUGGAAGAGAAAGAGAGAGAGAGAGGAGCGAGCGAGCACAGAGGAGGGAGAACUCCGGGAAACUGCGAGUCGCCCAUUAACGAGGCUUGUUGUCAGAGCUGCGGAUGGCGGACAGC
Long non-coding RNA from Betta splendens (Siamese fighting fish), 426 nucleotides. RefSeq lists it as uncharacterized. The transcript is spliced from 2 exons. The record is from RefSeq and is a predicted model, not a curated record. NCBI's taxonomy places the organism in Eukaryota, Metazoa, Chordata, Actinopteri, Anabantiformes, Osphronemidae.